This 74-nucleotide transfer RNA is filed under the name Nicotiana sylvestris (wood tobacco). It matches the Rfam family "tRNA". Rfam says of the family: Transfer RNA (tRNA) molecules are approximately 80 nucleotides in length. Their secondary structure includes four short double-helical elements and three loops (D, anti-codon, and T loops). Lineage: Eukaryota; Viridiplantae; Streptophyta; Magnoliopsida; Solanales; Solanaceae. RNAcentral also lists the same sequence under 1 other name. The record is from Rfam by way of RNAcentral.
GGUCCUGUAGCUCAAAGGAUUAGAGCACGUGGCUACAAACCACGGUGUCGGGGGUUCGAAUCCCUCCUCGCCCA